RNAcentral lists this ribosomal RNA (467 nucleotides) under uncultured bacterium. RNAcentral's name for it is "partial 16S ribosomal RNA". It matches the Rfam family "Bacterial small subunit ribosomal RNA", at positions 28 to 507 of the family's 1533-position model. The record is from RNAcentral.
GACGAACGCUGGCGGCGUGCUUAACACAUGCAAGUCGAACGGAAAGGCUCCAGCUUGCUGGAGUACUCGAGUGGCGAACGGGUGAGUAACACGUGGGUAAUCUGCCCUGCACUCUGGGAUAAGCCCGGGAAACUGGGUCUAAUACUGGAUAUGACCUUUCUCCUUAUGGGGUUUGGUGGAAAGUUUUUCGGUGUAGGAUGAGCCCGCGGCCUAUCAGCUUGUUGGUGGGGUGAUGGCCUACCAAGGCGACGACGGGUAGCCGGCCUGAGAGGGUGAUCGGCCACAUUGGGACUGAGAUACGGCCCAGACUCCUACGGGAGGCAGCAGUGGGGAAUAUUGCACAAUGGGCGGAAGCCUGAUGCAGCGACGCCGCGUGAGGGAUGACGGCCUUCGGGUUGUAAACCUCUUUCAGCAGGGACGAAGCGUAAGUGACGGUACCUGCAGAAGAAGCACCGGCUAACUACGUG